RNAcentral lists this non-coding RNA (29 nucleotides) under Cricetulus griseus (Chinese hamster). The record is from RNAcentral. Lineage: Eukaryota; Metazoa; Chordata; Mammalia; Rodentia; Cricetidae.
UCACAUUACUCUGUUCAAGCUGCGUUGAG